GGAAGAGUUCUCUUUUCUUGUUAACAGUUCCGCAGGCCCUGGAAUCGGAUUAUCCGGCGAUAGGGUCUGGUGGCUGGGAAAGCAGCUUAAUCUUUGAGCUGUCCGGUGCUCUCCAGACGGCCCUUGAAAAUCCGGUGGCGUGACUUAUUUACACCCCAGGUCGUACUCAUAACCGCAUCAGGUCUCCAAGGUGAGUAGCCUCUAGUCGAUAGAGUAAUGUGGAUAAGGG
Molecule: ribosomal RNA, 229 nt
Filed under: Skeletonema marinoi
Lineage: Eukaryota; Bacillariophyta; Thalassiosirophyceae; Thalassiosirales; Thalassiosiraceae
Description: partial Eukaryotic large subunit ribosomal RNA
Rfam family: Eukaryotic large subunit ribosomal RNA
Source: RNAcentral